This 253-nucleotide ribosomal RNA is filed under the name uncultured bacterium. RNAcentral's name for it is "partial 16S ribosomal RNA". It matches the Rfam family "Bacterial small subunit ribosomal RNA", at positions 524 to 776 of the family's 1533-position model. The record is from RNAcentral.
UACAGAGGUCUCAAGCGUUGUUCGGAUUCACUGGGCGUAAAGCGCACGUAGGCGGAUUGCUAAGUCAGGGGUGAAAUCCUGGAGCUCAACUCCAGAACUGCCUUUGAUACUGGCGACCUUGAGUCCGGGAGAGGUGAGUGGAACUGCGAGUGUAGAGGUGAAAUUCGUAGAUAUUCGCAAGAACACCAGUGGCGAAGGCGGCUCACUGGCCCGGUACUGACGCUGAGGUGCGAAAGCGUGGGGAGCAAACAGG